CAGAAAGGAACGAGUUGGCUGCGCGGGGGCUCCACACAGCACCGCUCUGUCCCGUCCGUCCCGUCGCACGCUCCGAGGAGCACUGAGAUGUGGUCACCUCAACACCACUACUAUGUCCUCACGUGUCACAAAGGGCCCUGUGACACCCUGUCCCGUGCCAUCCCAUCGGCCAUGCCCGCCGUGUCACAAAGGGCCCUGUGACACACUGCCACGUGCUCUGGGGCCUCCCCCAGCCCGGCCAACCUGCUCCAGGGAGCUGUUGGGAGUGGCAGAUGGAGCAAUUGGUGGCCGUGCUCGGCAUUGUCCAUUGAAGCUGUUCCAGCCCUGAGAAGAAUGACUGAUGACCUCAAACUCGCCAUUGCAGGCCUGGCCAUUCAAAACUGUACAUGCCAAGAGCUGUACAAACAGCUCCCUGCUCCAGACUCCAGCAGCUCCAAGACUGGCUCUGAAGAGGAAAAUGCCUCUUUUCUGCAAGGACGGCCUUUUACACCAGCAUGGUAAUAUCAAAUAUAUCUAUACAUCUUACGAAA
Molecule: long non-coding RNA, 530 nt
Organism: Pipra filicauda (Wire-tailed manakin)
Lineage: Eukaryota; Metazoa; Chordata; Aves; Passeriformes; Pipridae
Exons: 2
Source: RefSeq, a predicted model, not a curated record